GCCGAGCUCAGUAGCGUGGGCUUGUAACUCAAGUGAGGGCAUUAGUGUGGUGGAAUGUUGAGCAUGUUCAGAAGGUAGGGCUUGUGUAACAAUUCUCUGGCCUGCCCUGUCCAAGCACAGAGUUGGGUCUUGUGGUCCAAGCGAAGGCUUGGGCUGCUGGGCUCCUAAAGUGGGGUGGACUGCGUGAGGCUGGUUUCACAGAGCAACGAAUAGCUCCCGCUCUGUGCAGUGGAAGGAUAACAGGCCAGUGUCAUACAAGUUCAUUUGAAUGUCUGAUGGGCUGCUCUAAUUAAACCACCACGUUU
This 305-nucleotide signal recognition particle RNA is filed under the name Solanum tuberosum (potato). RNAcentral's name for it is "SRP RNA Plant_SRP". It matches the Rfam family "Plant signal recognition particle RNA". Lineage: Eukaryota; Viridiplantae; Streptophyta; Magnoliopsida; Solanales; Solanaceae. The record is from Rfam by way of RNAcentral.